Molecule: ribosomal RNA, 682 nt
Filed under: uncultured bacterium
Lineage: Bacteria
Description: bacterial SSU rRNA
Rfam family: Bacterial small subunit ribosomal RNA
Source: RNAcentral
CCUGGCUCAGGACGAACGCUGGCGGCGUGCCUAAUACAUGCAAGUCGAGCGAAUCAUUAGGAGCUUGCUCCUGAUGGUUAGCGGCGGACGGGUGAGUAACACGUGGGCAACCUGCCUGUAAGACUGGGAUAACUUCGGGAAACCGGAGCUAAUACCGGAUAAUCCUUUCCCUCACAUGAGGGAAAGCUGAAAGACGGUUUCGGCUGUCACUUACAGAUGGGCCCGCGGCGCAUCAGCUAGUUGGUGAGGUAACGGCUCACCAAGGCGACGAUGCGUAGCCGACCUGAGAGGGUGAUCGGCCACACUGGGACUGAGACACGGCCCAGACUCCUACGGGAGGCAGCAGUAGGGAAUCUUCCGCAAUGGACGAAAGUCUGACGGAGCAACGCCGCGUGAACGAUGAAGGCCUUCGGGUCGUAAAGUUCUGUUGUUAGGGAAGAACAAGUACCGGAGUAACUGCCCGGUACCUUGACGGUACCUAAACCAGAAAGCCACGGCUAACUACGUGCCAGCAGCCCGCGGGUAAUACGUAGUGGCAAGCGUUGUCCGGAAAUUAUUGGNGUAAAGCGCGCGCAGGCGGGUUCCUUAAGUCUGAUGUGAAAGCCCCCCGGCUCAACCGGGGAGGNCAUUGGNAAACUGGGGAACUUAAGUUACUGAAGAGGAAGCGGGAAAUUCCCACGUG